UUGUCCUCAUUUUGUAAGUCGCUUUGUAUAAAAGCGUCUGCUAAAUGACUAAAU
Danio rerio (zebrafish) is the source of this 54-nucleotide non-coding RNA. Lineage: Eukaryota; Metazoa; Chordata; Actinopteri; Cypriniformes; Danionidae. The record is from Rfam.